UACGUAGGGUGCAAGCGUUGUCCGGAAUUAUUGGGCGUAAAGAGCUCGUAGGCGGUUCGUCGCGUCGGCUGUGAAAUCCCGGAGCUCAACUCCGGGUCUGCAGUCGAUACGGGCGGACUCGAGUUCGGCAGGGGAGACUGGAAUUCCUGGUGUAGCGGUGAAAUGCGCAGAUAUCAGGAGGAACACCGGUGGCGAAGGCGGGUCUCUGGGCAGUAACUGACGCUGGAGGAGCGAAAGCCGUGGGGAGCGAACAGG
RNAcentral lists this ribosomal RNA (255 nucleotides) under uncultured bacterium. RNAcentral's name for it is "partial 16S ribosomal RNA". It matches the Rfam family "Bacterial small subunit ribosomal RNA", at positions 524 to 776 of the family's 1533-position model. The record is from RNAcentral.